AUUGCUAGGGGUGCGCAUGCGCUGAGAGUGGACCUGAUCCUGACCCUCAUUACCUGAACCGGACAAUGCCGGCGUAGGGAAGCAGUUAAU
This 90-nucleotide non-coding RNA is filed under the name bovine gut metagenome. RNAcentral describes it as "TPP riboswitch (THI element)". It matches the Rfam family "TPP riboswitch aptamer (THI element)", at positions 6 to 98 of the family's 105-position model. From Rfam's summary of the family: Vitamin B(1) in its active form thiamin pyrophosphate (TPP) is an essential coenzyme that is synthesised by coupling of pyrimidine and thiazole moieties in bacteria. The previously detected thiamin-regulatory element, thi box was extended, resulting in a new, highly conserved RNA secondary structure, the THI element, which is widely distributed in eubacteria and also occurs in some archaea. Analysis of operon structures identified a large number of new candidate thiamin-regulated genes, mostly transporters, in various prokaryotic organisms. The record is from RNAcentral.